This 497-nucleotide ribosomal RNA is filed under the name uncultured bacterium. RNAcentral's name for it is "partial 16S ribosomal RNA". It matches the Rfam family "Bacterial small subunit ribosomal RNA", at positions 28 to 507 of the family's 1533-position model. The record is from RNAcentral.
GACGAACGCUGGCGGCGUGCCUAAUACAUGCAAGUUGAGCGCUGAAGGUUGGUACUUGUACCAACUGGAUGAGCAGCGAACGGGUGAGUAACGCGUGGGGAAUCUGCCUUUGAGCGGGGGACAACAUUUGGAAACGAAUGCUAAUACCGCAUAAAAACUUUAAACACAAGUUUUAAGUUUGAAAGAUGCAAUUGCAUCACUCAAAGAUGAUCCCGCGUUGUAUUAGCUAGUUGGUGAGGUAAAGGCUCACCAAGGCGAUGAUACAUAGCCGACCUGAGAGGGUGAUCGGCCACAUUGAGACUGAGACACGGCCCAAACUCCUACGGGAGGCAGCAGUAGGGAAUCUUCGGCAAUGGACGAAAGUCUGACCGAGCAACGCCGCGUGAGUGAAGAAGGUUUUCGGAUCGUAAAACUCUGUUGGUAGAGAAGAACGGUGGUGAGAGUGGAAAGCUCAUCAAGUGACGGUAACUACCCAGAAAGGGACGGCUAACUACGUG